This 363-nucleotide transfer-messenger RNA is filed under the name Planctomycetaceae bacterium. It matches the Rfam family "transfer-messenger RNA". Rfam says of the family: Bacterial tmRNA, also known as 10Sa RNA or SsrA, is named for its dual tRNA and mRNA-like properties. Its role is to liberate the mRNA from a stalled ribosome. To accomplish this part of the tmRNA is used as a reading frame that ends in a translation stop signal. RNAcentral also lists the same sequence under 1 other name. Lineage: Bacteria; Pseudomonadati; Planctomycetota; Planctomycetia; Planctomycetales; Planctomycetaceae. The record is from RNAcentral.
GGGGGCGAACAGGUUUCGACCGGAUAGGCGAAGCGUAAGUGGCGUGUCGUGGUUGAUCAGCAGGCCACGUUAAAAGCUGAUCACGACCUUCAAUUGCCGAAGGUUCCUACGCUUUGGCUGCCUAAAUAUAGGCAACCCGGGCUAAGGGCUGAUGUCGGAUCGGCCCGGACGCCCGUCACCAAUUCCGACUAGUCGCCGGUCAUUGCCGGGCACGCCGGCGGCGAAAUUAAGUUCCUAGCUAGUUCUCGCGGAGCCCUGUCGACGAGGCGCCGCGGCGAGCGAAAUCAAACUCGACGACUACACACGUAGAAGCUUGCGUGGAGAUAUCUCGGCACGCGGGUUCGAUUCCCGCCGCCUCCACUG